This 365-nucleotide long non-coding RNA is filed under the name Hordeum vulgare. RNAcentral describes it as "long non-coding RNA (HVUL_LNC014652)". Lineage: Eukaryota; Viridiplantae; Streptophyta; Magnoliopsida; Poales; Poaceae. The record is from RNAcentral.
ACUCGUACUCACCAAGCACUAGGAACAUGCAGCUCGGUACUGAAGGAGUGCAUGUGUAUUCUAUCAUAGUCUUGAUCGUAGCGGAAAGAUGACUACAGUGUAGAAUACACCAGCUAGCGUUUCCACAAGCCUGCGACCCAGACGUGGCCAAUGUUGUGGCACUAACACGAUAAGCUGAACUUGGAAAUCACACAGUUCCGGACACAUCAUCUUUAACUCACGUUCCUAAUGCAUCUCAUUCACAACAAGGAAAUCACACAGUAUUGGUCUGUUCACUGCGCACUUGAUCAUGAGUUACCCUGCUUUUUCAUGUUCUCCUCUUAGCAGGAGAAGCAAACUGGCACUACAUAAGCAUAUCAUGCUAC